GACGAACGCUGGCGGCGUGCCUAAUACAUGCAAGUAGAACGCUGAAGGAGGAGCUUGCUUCUCUGGAUGAGUUGCGAACGGGUGAGUAACGCGUAGGUAACCUGCCUGGUAGCGGGGGAUAACUAUUGGAAACGAUAGCUAAUACCGCAUAAUAGUAGAUGUUGCAUGACAUUUGCUUAAAAGGUGCAAUUGCAUCACUACCAGAUGGACCUGCGUUGUAUUAGCUAGUUGGUGGGGUAACGGCUCACCAAGGCGACGAUACAUAGCCGACCUGAGAGGGUGAUCGGCCACACUGGGACUGAGACACGGCCCAGACUGCUACGGGAGGCAGCAGUAGGGAAUCUUCGGCAAUGGACGGAAGUCUGACCGAGCAACGCCGCGUGAGUGAAGAAGGUUUUCGGAUCGUAAAGCUCUGUUGUAAGAGAAGAACGAGUGUGAGAGUGGAAAGUUCACACUGUGACGGUAUCUUACCAGAAAGGGACGGCUAACUACGUG
Molecule: ribosomal RNA, 495 nt
Filed under: uncultured bacterium
Lineage: Bacteria
Description: partial 16S ribosomal RNA
Rfam family: Bacterial small subunit ribosomal RNA
Source: RNAcentral